Molecule: ribosomal RNA, 251 nt
Filed under: uncultured bacterium
Lineage: Bacteria
Description: partial 16S ribosomal RNA
Rfam family: Bacterial small subunit ribosomal RNA
Source: RNAcentral
GUGGAUUAGUGGCGAACGGGUGAGUAACACGUGAGUAACCUGCCCUUGACUCUGGGAUAACUGCUAGAAAUGGUAGCUAAUACCGGAUACGACCCUCGGAGGCAUCUCCAGGGGGUGGAAAGAAUUUCGGUCAAGGAUGGACUCGCGGCCUAUCAGCUAGUUGGUGAGGUAAAGGCUCACCAAGGCGACGACGGGUAGCCGGCCUGAGAGGGUGACCGGCCACACUGGGACUGAGACACGGCCCAGACUCC